Molecule: long non-coding RNA, 2130 nt
Organism: Diachasmimorpha longicaudata
Lineage: Eukaryota; Metazoa; Arthropoda; Insecta; Hymenoptera; Braconidae
Exons: 3
Source: RefSeq, a predicted model, not a curated record
UUGCUCCCCUCUCCAUAAUAUGAAUCGAUAAAAUGAUAAAACGAAACUAUUGAGACCCGUACCUCCGUUCUUCACCUACACUCCUCUCUUUUCGUCGAAAACGAAAUCAAUGUAUUGAUCAAUUACGAUUAAGCUGUCGAUCUUCAAGCGAUUGCUAAUGAAAUAAUGGUGUCGAAGGAGUGAUGGCAUGAUGUUUCCCAUUCUGCGAUUAAUUUCUGUCGACUCACUUUUUAAAAUGAAUUAUGUCAGCUCGAUUACACACCACCUAAAAAACUUCUUGAAAAUAAUAUAACAGACGAUUAGGAAUUGAAGUGCCCUACUUAUUGGAUGGUUCAUCCUUCAGCCUUUUAUGAAUCGCAUCAUUUACUCUGUUUGAGCCAACAGAAAUAUCGAAAAACCGAGAAAACCGAAUACACCAAGAAGACAGUCUGAAAGAUCUUGAAACUUCGCCAGCGGUGCACGAAUGAUUUAAAUAAUGCGGGAAAAAAUAUACUACGAUUAAUUCUACUCAUCACUCCAUUGUCAUUGACCAUUAAUUUCGAGGAUAUAAAUAAUUACCUUAUUAUCUCUACAUGUCGGUUCACAAUACAUUUAAUGCAAGCACAAUUGUAUCGCUCAGCAGGAAUGUUAUGUACGACAUGUCCUUUGCUCUGUUCAAUAGUAUUGCGAAGGAUUUUUAAUUGUGCGCAAAAGUGGGCAGUAACAAUGACAAAGUAUAUUUCCAAAGACAGGUAAAUGACAGUGCCAUAUACAAUGGUGAUCCCCUGAAGAAUCACGAUUACUCCAGAUAUCGGAGAUAUGGUGAAGGGAUGCCAAACGUCGGCGUAAAAUAUCACUUGAACUCCGAAGAAAUGUGAUACCAGCCAGGGAGUAUUCAGGGAAACUGAAAAAAUUGCGAUGAGAAAUGUAUAAAGAGAAAAAAGUGAUUUGCAGAGACGAUGAGGAUCAAAUUAAUAAUUGAAGAAUUGCUGGGUAAUAUUGACCAGUUAGUAAUUGAAAAAUUUUAAUCAAUUUGGAAUUAUUCAGAUCCGAUGUCUGAAUAUUUUUCUUGUGCACAUGGGAUUUUAAAUUCUUGAUCCCAGGGACCCUUAGGAAGAUUUGACGAUAGUUCUGAUUUUGAAAAUUUAGUUGAGAUGUCAAUUUUCAGACUCUCAUGCAUGAACUUACGGAUUAGACCGAAACCCCACACAAUACCGAACACUUUUGAAAUAUUCGUUGAUUGUUUGACACACAUCCCCAUAAAUUUCUUCCUUUCGUUCGUCAAAUAUUGCACACGAUCCCAGUCGUCUUCCAUGAAACCGAAUAUUUGUUCAAUCUCUCGCUGAAAAAUUUUUAAUAUGAAAAGUUUAAUAGCGACAAGAUCGAAGAAAAUAGUAUUGAUGAAUUUAUAAGCCCCAUGAUCACUCCAUCCUGUGGUAUACGAUUUUGUCGUCACAACCACCGUGAAAAUUAAACAAGUAAAACCGAUGCAAUUAAUGAUCAGUUUUCCGCGAUAUUCUAAGGGCCAUAUCCCCACAAUUUUCAUGGCUGCCUCCAGGUAUUUCACUUCCUGAGCAAAAAAUAUCCCUGAAUUCUUUUUUACAUUUCCGUAAAAGUGACGAUUUACACCAUAAGAAUUCAUUUUUAAUUUCGAAAGGAAAAAUACAUUCAGUGCUUCUCAAAAAUUAAAUUCGCAAUUAUUUUGCUGAACAGAUCUACACUAGAGUUCUCCAAGGAUAAUAUUCUACGGAGGCAAUGAGUGACUGCCACACGAUAUAAAUUGUCAGGUGAUAUUUCAAGGGAAGAAAAUCUCAGGGCAAAACGUGUCUUCGUCAGGUACUUUUGUUUGUCCUUUACUUAACAUUAUCCAAUAAUAGUAAUAGGGACAAAUUACAUCGUCAAUAAUGCAAAAAUUGAAAUCAAACGGUGCCAAUUUUUUUGUCCCCUCUAUUUACCAACUCAUGUUUGUCUUGCGUUCCAAGGGAGAAGCUACUGUAUUCACUGCGAAAAUCCAUAUAUCCUCGUCAACCCUCAUUUCAAGAUACCCCAAUCUUUCUGACCCCAACUCUACUUUCUUAUGUCCCUCGUUACGUCACAUGCAUUGAUGAGAGGCUACACUAAUUUUUGACGAUUUUUCGUCGCGUGUGACAU